UUCUUUAUCACCGAGUGCUUGCACUCACCGAUAAAGAGUUGAGUGGCGAACGGGUGAGUAACACGUGGGCAACCUGCCCAAAAGAGGGGGAUAACACUUGGAAACAGGUGCUAAUACCGCAUAACCAUAGUUACCGCAUGGUAACUAUGUAAAAGGUGGCUAUGCUACCGCUUUUGGAUGGGCCCGCGACGCAUUAGCUAGUUGGUGGGGUAAAGGCUUACCAAGGCAAUGAUGCGUAGCCGAACUGAGAGGUUGAUCGGCACAUUGGGACUGAGACACGGCCCAAACUCCUACGGGAGGCAGCAGUAGGGAAUCUUCCACAAUGGGCGAAAGCCUGAUGGAGCAACGCCGCGUGGGUGAAGAAGGUCUUCGGAUCGUAAAACCCUGUUGUUAGAGAAGAAAGUGCGUGAGAGUAACUGUUCACGUUUCGACGGUAUCUAACCAGAAAGCCACGGCUAACUACGUGCCAGCAGCCGCGGUAAUACGUAGGUGGCAAGCGUUAUCCGGAUUUAUUGGGCGUAAAGAGAACGCAGGCGGUCUUUUAAGUCUGAUAUGAAAGCCUUCGGCUUAACCGGAGUAGUGCAUUGGAAACUGGGAGACUUGAGUGCAGAAGAGGAGAGUGGAACUCCAUGUGUAGCGGUGAAAUGCGUAGAUAUAUGGAAGAACACCAGUGGCGAAAGCGGCUCUCUGGUCUGUAACUGACGCUGAGGUUCGAAAGCGUGGGUAGCAA
This 730-nucleotide ribosomal RNA is filed under the name uncultured bacterium. RNAcentral describes it as "bacterial SSU rRNA". It matches the Rfam family "Bacterial small subunit ribosomal RNA", at positions 71 to 771 of the family's 1533-position model. The record is from RNAcentral.